Long non-coding RNA from Medicago truncatula (barrel medic), 1182 nucleotides. RefSeq lists it as uncharacterized. The record is from RefSeq and is a predicted model, not a curated record. Lineage: Eukaryota; Viridiplantae; Streptophyta; Magnoliopsida; Fabales; Fabaceae. The transcript is spliced from 3 exons.
AACCUCACUAAAUUCAUUAGCCAAAACUGAAUUAUUUCCCCCUCAUUUAUUUUCACGUUUUGGUUUCCCUCCUCUCAAACUAAAACAUUCCCCCUUUUUUUUUUGGUUUCACAAACCCCCAAAAUAAUUUUCCCACAAACUCCAUACUCAAACCCAAGAUGAACUCACAAACCCUAAAAUAAAAUUAACCAUUAAUUUUCCCCAAAACUUCAAUCACUCUCUCAGAUGAACAAAUUUUUCCAAUUCACUCUCAAAACUGAAUCACUCUCUUAGAACAGUGCUAAAUCACAACCUUUUUCCAUAACAAUUUUAAAUCGCAGCCUCUUUCCACUCUCUACCUCUCAACUGCAUCGCAAGCUCUCUCCUUCUUAGAUCUGAAUCCCAACCUCUCACCUUAGCAAGAUUCUUCUGAAUUUGAAGCUGAAUUUGUAUAUCUUCACUAAAUCUGACUCCCAAAAUCAUCACGGUAACCACUAUCAAUCUCAGAAUUUAUUUGUUAUUUUUUUAAUUUUUUUUUAAUAUUUUUUCUCUUCAGUGAAGUUAUUGUUUGUGAUACUUAUUUUUCUGAUGUUGUUUUAACUUACACAUUAACUGUUAUUUUUGUCAUGGCCAUAUGGAAGUGAAGCUUGUUGAAACAAAGGGAAUGGAAUCUUACAUUUGGAUUUUGGGUUUGAAUUUUUUCUGUUAUGUGAUAUGGUGUUGAAAACAUUUAGAGUUAUAGGGUUUGUAAGUUUUAGAUUGUGUUAUGUAAAUUCAGAACAUUUGAGGUCAAUAUGAUUUUGUUAUGACCUUUCUUGGAUGAUGUUGUAUGAUUGUUUUACUUGUGAUGUUUGUUUUUAUUGUUUUGCAUGGCCAAUAUUUGGAGUUAUGUACUUUGCUUUUAAUGCCUAAGUCAUUUGAAGAUAAUGCGCUUGAAAUCUAUCCUCACGUCACAUAUUAGCAUGACUUUGCAAUUAAGGGGGGUGCUGACAGCAUUUGGGGCCUGUUUUCCAUGACUGUUUUUUAUGCCUAGUGGACUCUGUGUGUGUUGUGUGUGUUUUUGUGCUGUUUUUAGGCCAUUGAGGUGUUUGAAUAGCAGCAGUUUCAGACCUGUUAUUUAUCAUUCAAAUUUUACAUAUUAAGAAAUAAGUGCGACGAGUAAUUGUAUUGAUAAGUCACAUGAAUACAAGAUAAUUUGAGACA